AUGGUUACUGAGCUCCGAGAGGGAAUGGGUCGAGCCGGCCCCACCCUGACGGUGCUGCCCCCCUCCAGUGAGGAGCUGCUGAAGGGGAAGGCCACGCUCAUGUGCCUGGCCAACAAGGGCUUCCCCUCAGACUGGAGUCUGGCCUGGAAGGUGGACCGGCAGCAGCAGCAGCUGGGAGGAGAGCAGGACCCCGGGGUGCUGGGGAAGGACGGCAAAUACAGCUGGAGCAGCACCCUGAGGCUCCCUAAAGACCAGUGGGAGAAGGUGGGCUCUGUGACCUGUGAGGCCACCCAGGGCUCCCAGGCUCCGCUCUCAGAGACACUGAGGAGAGACCAGUGUUCCCAGUCCUGA
Molecule: non-coding RNA, 351 nt
Organism: Perca fluviatilis (European perch)
Lineage: Eukaryota; Metazoa; Chordata; Actinopteri; Perciformes; Percidae
Source: the annotation of a RefSeq genome assembly